RNAcentral lists this ribosomal RNA (86 nucleotides) under Cronobacter sakazakii E899. RNAcentral describes it as "partial 16S ribosomal RNA". The stretch from base 1 to 77 matches the Rfam family "Bacterial small subunit ribosomal RNA", at positions 1457 to 1533 of the family's 1533-position model. The record is from RNAcentral. Lineage: Bacteria; Pseudomonadati; Pseudomonadota; Gammaproteobacteria; Enterobacterales; Enterobacteriaceae.
CCACUUUGUGAUUCAUGACUGGGGUGAAGUCGUAACAAGGUAACCGUAGGGGAACCUGCGGUUGGAUCACCUCCUUACCUGAAAGA